UACGAAGGUGGCAAGCGUUGUUCGGAUUUACUGGGCGUACAGGGAGCGUAGGCGGUUGGAUAAGCCCUCCGUGAAAUCUCCAGGCUUAACCUGGAAAGUGCAGAGGGGACUGUUCAGCUAGAGGAUGGGAGAGGAGCGCGGAAUUCCCGGUGUAGCGGUGAAAUGCGUAGAGAUCGGGAGGAACAUCAGUUGCGAAGGCGGCCUUCUGGUCCAGUACUGACACUCAAGUGCGAAAUCGUGGGUAGCAAACAUC
RNAcentral lists this ribosomal RNA (253 nucleotides) under uncultured bacterium. Its description in RNAcentral is "partial 16S ribosomal RNA". It matches the Rfam family "Bacterial small subunit ribosomal RNA", at positions 524 to 776 of the family's 1533-position model. The record is from RNAcentral.